This is a long non-coding RNA of Mesocricetus auratus (golden hamster), 734 nucleotides long. RefSeq lists it as uncharacterized. The transcript has 3 exons. NCBI's taxonomy places the organism in Eukaryota, Metazoa, Chordata, Mammalia, Rodentia, Cricetidae. The record is from RefSeq and is a predicted model, not a curated record.
UAAACAGAGAACCAAAGGAUGUUCUGUGCUUCUGGGCCAUUGAUUGUUACUGUCCACUGUGAUACAGCACCACUGCCAAGGUUGCCGUGGGCUGGUUGCGUUCUUCCACCAAAGAUCUCCAGUUCUUGCUGAGUGGUACCUACUCGUAUUUUCUGACCACUGAUGUUGGUGACCCUCACAUUUGUAAAUAGCCCAUCUAUCAAUCAAUAUCUCCUUUACCACUCAGACUUUCUUCUGGCGCACAUCUGCAGGGGGGAGUUCCUGGAAGUGAUGCAGAGUAAGGGGUGUGGCUGCGGGAGAGAAGAACAGCUCAGACGCAUCUGCCUCACAAAUCUCCCGUGCGGGAACCGUUUCUGAUUCAGAAUCAUUGCGUAGAUGCAUUGGCAAAGAACCCGACUCUCCUCCAACUCUCGUGAUGACUCAUUCUUAACCUUACUGAGAAAAACGAGACAGGAAGUGGGAGCCCAGGGGCUGGCAGGCAGCCUCUAAACACAUUGCCUUUCACCUACCAGCGAUCACAUCUGCAACGUUCCACAGAAAUAAAAACCUCUCCAUGUUUGCAGAGCGAAUUGGACCAAUUGAACCAGGGGGUAUACCCUGCUGAGUAAAAGGGCAAGGGGGAUAAGUUACAGCCUUGCCUGUUUCUUAGGCAGAGGUAGCCUGAGGCCUCCAUGUGUACUGUCAGUUCGUAUUCUUGACCUUUGUUACAUGGUUUUAUUUUUUGUAACGUUUCU